RNAcentral lists this unclassified non-coding RNA (162 nucleotides) under soil metagenome. Its description in RNAcentral is "partial internal transcribed spacer 1". The record is from RNAcentral.
GUGAAUUGAAUAUGUUAGCGGACCUCUUCGGAGUCCCUAGCAUCAAAUCAUGUCCAUAACACCUGUGAACUGUAAGGCUGUCUUGAAAACGAAAGUGAUUAGAGCGCCUGCCCAUUUUAUACAAACAUUAAAGUAACAAACGUAGUCUUAUUAUAAUCUAAU